GAUCAGCGCUGGUGGCUAAAUGGCGUUUAUGGCCCUCAAAGCGAUGUCGAGAAGCUGCAAUUCCUUGCCGAUUUGCAGGAGGUGCGGGUGAACUGCGCAGGGCCUUGGGUCCUUGGAGGCAACUUCAACAUGAUCGCUUCCGCUGCCGACAAAAACAACUCACGCCUCAACUUGUGCAUGAUGCGGAGAUUCCGGUGCUUCAUGGCGGACAUGGAGCUGCGAGACCUUUACCUCCACGGUCGUCGCUAUACUUGGUCUAACGAGUGAGAUAACCCCACGCUAGUCCGAAUUGACCGUGUGCUCUGCACCCCGGCUUGGAUUGAAGCUAACCCACACUAUCAACGUCACUGCCUUUCCUCUGCGGCCUCCGAUUAUUUCCCUCAUGGUAGAUUGCACAGUGAGCUCACCCGAGUCGUGCCGGUUUCGCUUUGA
RNAcentral lists this ribosomal RNA (432 nucleotides) under Triticum aestivum (bread wheat). RNAcentral describes it as "partial small subunit ribosomal RNA". The record is from RNAcentral. Lineage: Eukaryota; Viridiplantae; Streptophyta; Magnoliopsida; Poales; Poaceae.